Molecule: ribosomal RNA, 484 nt
Filed under: uncultured bacterium
Lineage: Bacteria
Description: partial 16S ribosomal RNA
Rfam family: Bacterial small subunit ribosomal RNA
Source: RNAcentral
AUUGAACGCUGGCGGCAGGCCUAACACAUGCAAGUCGAGCGGAUGCAGGGAGCUUGCUCCUGGAUUCAGCGGCGGACGGGCGAGUAAUGCCUAGGAAUCUGCCUGGUAGUGGGGGAUAACGUCCGGAAACGGGCGCUAAUACCGCAUACGUCCUGAGGGAGCAAGUGGGGGAUCUUCGGACCUCACGCUAUCAGAUGAGCCUAGGUCGGAUUAGCUAGUUGGUGGGGUAAAGGCCUACCAAGGCGACGAUCCGUAACUGGUCUGAGAGGAUGAUCAGUCACACUGGAACUGAGACACGGUCCAGACUCCUACGGGAGGCAGCAGUGGGGAAUAUUGGACAAAGGGCGAAAGCCUGAUCCAGCCAUGCCGCGUGUGUGAAGAAGGUCUUCGGAUUGUAAAGCACUUUAAGUUGGGAGGAAGGGCAGUAAGUUAAUACCUUGCUGUUUUGACGUUACCAACAGAAUAAGCACCGGCUAACUUCGUG